RNAcentral lists this ribosomal RNA (253 nucleotides) under uncultured bacterium. RNAcentral describes it as "partial 16S ribosomal RNA". It matches the Rfam family "Bacterial small subunit ribosomal RNA", at positions 524 to 776 of the family's 1533-position model. The record is from RNAcentral.
UACGUAGGGGGCAAGCGUUGUCCGGAAUCAUUGGGCGUAAAGCGCGCGUAGGCGGCCCUGUAAGUCCGUUGUGAAAGUCAAAGGCUCAACCUUUGAAAGCCGAUGGAUACUGCAGGGCUAGAGUCCGGAAGAGGCGAGUGGAAUUCCUGGUGUAGCGGUGGAAUGCGCAGAUAUCAUGAGGAAAACCAGUGGCGAAGGCGGGUCUCUGGACAGUUCCUGACACUGAGGCACGAAGGCCAGGGGAGCAAACGGG